AGCGAUUGAGUCAAUUGAUUCGAUUGUAUUAUAGCUCCCAGAACUGAACAGACUGUGUUGUUGUGCAGUAGCGAUGCAAGCCUUAAGGCGCACAAAUUUUGCUGCGGUUGGUGGAUGCUUGGCUCACUUGUUUUAGAGUUUGUCGAGUAUUUCGCUGACUGAUGGUGGAGUCAAUUGUGUAUUGCAUCCAUAAUCUAUGGUUCAAUGUAGGCCAUUUACCUGUCCCGUCUUGAAACACGGACCAAGGAGUCUAUCAUGUUUGCGAGUCAUUGGGCGUUACGAAACCCAAAGGCGAAGUGAAAGUAAAGACCUACGUUGGUAGGUUUAGGCAGGAUCGUUGUACCCUCGGGUGUGAUGCGCACUGCCGACUCAUUAGAUAUUUCUAGUGAAGUCAGAGCAAACAUGAUGUAACCCGAAAGAUGGUGAACUAUGCUUGUGCAGGCUGAAGCC
RNAcentral lists this ribosomal RNA (450 nucleotides) under Temnosewellia fasciata. RNAcentral's name for it is "eukaryotic LSU rRNA". It matches the Rfam family "Eukaryotic large subunit ribosomal RNA", at positions 453 to 853 of the family's 3401-position model. The record is from RNAcentral. Lineage: Eukaryota; Metazoa; Platyhelminthes; Rhabdocoela; Temnocephalidae.